UACGGAGGGUGCAAGCGUUGCUCGGAAUUAUUGGGCGUAAAGAGCGUGUAGGCGGCCAGGUAGGUCUGCUGUGAAAACUCGAGGCUCAACCUCGAGACGUCGGCGGAAACCAUCUGGCUAGAGUCCGGAAGAGGAGAGUGGAAUUCCUGGUGUAGCGGUGAAAUGCGCAGAUAUCAGGAAGAACACCCGUGGCGAAGGCGGCUCUCUGGGACGGUACUGACGCUGAGACGCGAAAGCGUGGGGAGCGAACAGG
Molecule: ribosomal RNA, 253 nt
Filed under: uncultured bacterium
Lineage: Bacteria
Description: partial 16S ribosomal RNA
Rfam family: Bacterial small subunit ribosomal RNA
Source: RNAcentral